UACGUAGGGUGCGAGCGUUGUUCGGAAUUACUGGGCGUAAAGCGCGCGCAGGCGGCUAUCCAAGUCAGUGGUGAAAGCCCGGAGCUCAACUCCGGAACUGCCAUUGAAACUGUUUAGCUUGAGGAUGAGAGAGGUGAGUGGAAUUCCCAGUGUAGAGGUGAAAUUCGUAGAUAUUGGGAAGAACACCGGUGGCGAAGGCGGCUCACUGGCUCAUUACUGACGCUGAGGCGCGAAAGCUAGGGGAGCAAACGGG
RNAcentral lists this ribosomal RNA (253 nucleotides) under uncultured bacterium. RNAcentral describes it as "partial 16S ribosomal RNA". It matches the Rfam family "Bacterial small subunit ribosomal RNA", at positions 524 to 776 of the family's 1533-position model. The record is from RNAcentral.